UAAUUUUUUGUAUUUUUAGUAGAGAAGGAUUCCUCCAUGUUGGUCAGGCUGGUCUCAAACUUCUGACCUCAGGUGAUCUGCCUGCCUCGGCCUCCCAAAGUGCUGGGAUUACAGGCAUCAGCCACUGUGCCCGGCGACUCUUUUCUUACGUGGGCUUUGCUAAUAGUAGAGAUUGUGACCUAUCUCUGGGCCCAGCACCUAGAUAUUAUGACUGUCCUACCCUGCCUGGUCCAUGCCCACAGAAAAGAGUGACUUAUCACUAGGCUUAACACACAAGUGAUUCGAUUCUUCUGCAUGAUCCCAGCCCACAUGGCUUAUUGUGACAUAUCUAGACCCAUCACCUAGAUGAUGUAACUCUCCUUUUCUUUCUGGGAACUGUCCAUAAUGAGGAUUGUGACACAUCACUUGGCCCAGCACUUAUGUGAUAUGACUCUCUUCUUUUGCCUGGGCUUAUCAAAUUGGGUGAUUAUGUCAUAUAGCUGUACUCAGCUCCUAGGUUAUGUGUCUCUCCUGUUUCUCCUGAGUCCAACCCACAGAGGUCAUUGCAACAUAUCUCUGAGCCCCUAAUUUACGUAGUUUGACUCCUGCCUGGGCCCUCCCUUCAGUGAUUUUUGUGACAUAUUUUUUGACUCAGCACCUAGGUAAUGUGACUCUUCUCCACUGCUUGGACUCUGUCACAGAAGGUAUUGUGAUGUAUCACUGGGCCUGACACCUAGGUGAAGGUACUGUCUUCUCCUGCCUGGGCCCUGCAUAAAUUGUAUAUUUUGACAUGUCACUGGGUUCAACACAUGGGUGAUUCAACUCUCUCACAUGGACCUUGAGCAUGGGGUUAUUAGGACAUUUAUUUUUGUUCAUCUCAGUGAUAUGACUCCUUUCCUCCCUGAACCCUGUCAAAAAGAAAGAUUGUGACAUAUCACUUAAACCAGAACUUAGGUGAUGAGACUCUUCUGUCUAGCAACCACUUAUUUUGGGUAUUGUGACAUUUCACUGGGCCAAACACCUAAAAAAUGGGAGGCUCCUGCCUCAGCCCUGUCCACAUAUAUCUGGACAUAUAUCUGCAUCCAUUACAUAAAACAUGUGAUACCUUUUCUGCCUGUACCCUGCCCACAGGAAAGAUUGUGACACUGCAGGGCCUGGCCGCCAGCUGUUGUGUCUCACCUGAAUGUACAUAACUUUCAGGAGAAAGUUGUAACAUGUCACUGGUUGAAAACCCAGAUGAUGUGACUCUCCUGGCUUUUCACAGCCCUCAGGGAAAAAAUUUACAUAUCAGUGGCCCAGCAUCCAGGUGAUGCGACUCUCCUGGGUGCUUUCUGCCAACAAGUUGAUUGGUAACAUAUAUCUCAUCCCAGCUCACAGGUUUGAUGAUGACUCUAAUACUUCAUACCAGUCAAUAGAAGAGAUAGUGUCUCUCACAGCUAGGCUUAGAAAAAGGAGUAAAAUCUCAGGUCUCCUCUCUGCAUGAAGGUUAUAGCGAAUCACCACUCUCAUAUAUUGUAUAAAGCACUCAGAUGAUACAGAGCAUGUCAUCAUAGGACCCAGCAAACAGGUUAGAUCAUGUUUCAUGUAAGCGCUCCCUGACAAUUUUUAGAAUUGUCAUCGUCACACAUGGUGAAAGUCCACUGAUGAGGUCAUAAUUCUCAUGCACAGAUGCAGUCCACAGUUAAAAUUGUAACUAUCAUAUGUAAACGUGGCCACAGUUGAGAUGGUGACUCAUUUCUAAACCCAGCUCAUAGGUGAGUGAGGACUCUCCUCUCUGGACCCAGCCAAUUGAAGAGAUGUUGACCCAUACCUAGACUUAGGACCACAUAAGAUCAUGGGUCCAAAGCAGCGCAAAGUUCUCAGAGUAGGUUGCAACUCAUACAGUCCUCAAGAGAGUGCCCUUACAGGGCCAAGCACACAGGUGAGAUUGUCAAACUUACAUUCACACCCAGUCAAUAGCAAAGAUUGUCAUUUACUUAAACACACCCUACUUUUGAGGUUCUGAAUCUCACUUUUGGAGGCAGUUGAAUGUUGGAAAAUUGACUCUCAUUUGUGUGGAUUUUGUCCACAUUUGGGUGACUCUUUAAUCAAAAUUCAGCACACCUUUGUGACUGUAACUUCACUAAGGAGCUUUAUUUAUUUAGAGAUGAAGUUUCAUUCUUGUAACCCAGGCUGGAGUGCGGUGGCGUGAUCUCCGCUCACUGCAACCUCUGCCUACUGGGUUCAAGCGAUUCUCCUGCCUGAUUCUCCCAAGUAGCUGGGAUUACAGGUGCUCACUACCAUGUUGGCUAAUUUUUUGUAUUUUUAGUAGAGAUGGGGCUUUACCAUGUUGGUCAGGCUGGUCUUGAACUCCUGACCUCAAGUGAUCCGCCCACCUCGGCCUCCCAAAAUGCUGAGAUUACAGGUGUGAGCCACCGUGCCCAGUCUAAGGCACACAAUUUGCAAAGGAAAUUGAGGCUCUCGCACAAAUCCAGUCCACCCUGUACUUACACCCAACAUGCAGGAGGUGUUGACUCUCAUCCCUUGACUCAGGACAUGUGUGUAAUUGUUAAUGUCAUCGCAAGGCCUUUUGACAAGUGUAAUUGUGACAUAUACCUUGGCCUAGCAUCUGAGUUAUUUGUUGUUUCCUGGGUCCAGCUCACAGUGCCAUAUCACUGGAUCCAGACCCUUGGUAAUGUGAUUCUAUUCUGCCUUGAUACAGCCCACAGGGGUCAUUGUGACAUCGCUGGGCAUUGCACCUAGGUGAUUUGAGUCUCCUCUUCUGCCUUGGUGCUGCCCACAGGUGUAUUGUGACAUAUUGCUGGGCGUAUGUUAUGUGACUCUUGCUUGUGCCCUAAACACAUAGGCCAUUGUAACAUUGCUGAGUGCAACACCCAGGUGAUGUAACGCUUCACCCUGGACCUGUCUACAGAGGGCAUUGUAAUAUAUGUCUUCACCAAUCACCCAGGAAAUGUGACUUUUUAUUCCUCCCUGUUCUGUACUCACAGGGGGUAUUGGGACAUAUUGGGCCCAGCACCUAGCUGAUGUGACUUUUCUUUAUUCUAGGUUCUGACAACAAAGGAGAUUGUGACAUAUUGCUGGGCCUAACACUAAGGUGAUGUUAGUUAUUUGCUUUGGCUGUGCCCUUGGAAGGCAUUGAGACAUACUGCUGUGCCCAGCACCAAGAUGAUGUAACGUGACUCUUCUGCUUCAGGCCUGCCAAAAGAAAAGAUUGUGACAGAUCACUGGACCCAGCACCUAGGUGAUAUGACUCUCCUCAUUUGCCUGAGACCUGCAUAUUUUAGACAUUGUGAUAUACAACUGGAACAAACACCUAGGGGUUGGAAGGCUCCUGCCUGAG
Molecule: long non-coding RNA, 3319 nt
Filed under: Homo sapiens (human)
Lineage: Eukaryota; Metazoa; Chordata; Mammalia; Primates; Hominidae
Description: non-protein coding LINC01224:54
Source: RNAcentral